GGGACGGAUCGCGCGCGGCUCCGGGAGGAGUCGGGUGGGACGGCCUCUCAUCCACACACCCCGCCCACACCUCCGCCCCGGAGAAGCGUUAACCCGUCUCCGCGGCGGUGGGCGGUGCGCGGGGCUUCCGGGUUCUUCGGCGCUAAGCACGGCUCACGUGCGGCGCCGCUUUCCCGCCGCAGCCAGCUGUGUUCCGCUCGUCCCGCGGAACGCCGGGCACGGGUGGGCCGGCGGGGUCGCUCCCAGGCCCAGUUUCCGAAACGUGCGCGAAAGGAGUCAGGGCUAGCUCCCCCUUUCUGCUACCCGGACCGCACUACGAGUCCCAGCGGGCAGCGCCGCCACGCGCGUCGGCCACCGAAGCGGUGCCUGCUGGGAGCUGGAGUCCCCAACGGCCGCGGUUCGCUGACCCCAACUGGCCGCGGGUCUUGCCUCCCGCUCGGCGAACCCCAACCGUCCUGGCGCUGAACCCUGGAAACCAACCAGGUAUGAACAACUUCCUUCUAGAAAUCUUUCUUUGAGCUCAUUCAUAGGUUGAGCAAGAAAAUGUAUUAAUGCUAAAUGGUGGAUAACUGCCUAUGUCCUCACAAAUGUCCAUUGAAUGAUUGCAGUGACAGAAUUAUGUGUGUAGGUACCUGUCCAGUGUGUCUCUGACUUGGAAAUCUAAAAUUGUAUAGUCUGGAUUUUAAGCCUACUAGAAUUACUCCAGGUUUACUUCAUGAUACCCUUUCCUUUCCACUAAUAAUUUUGGAACAUUGUCCAUUUAUUUCCAUAUAAAAAUCUAUUUUUAAAAGAU
This 793-nucleotide long non-coding RNA is filed under the name Equus asinus (donkey). Its description in RNAcentral is "lncRNA (ENSEASG00005023938.1)". The record is from RNAcentral. Lineage: Eukaryota; Metazoa; Chordata; Mammalia; Perissodactyla; Equidae.